Molecule: transfer RNA, 48 nt
Filed under: Aniseia cernua
Lineage: Eukaryota; Viridiplantae; Streptophyta; Magnoliopsida; Solanales; Convolvulaceae
Also listed under: 2 other names
Description: partial tRNA-Phe
Source: RNAcentral
UCAGGAUAGCUCAGCUGGUAGAGCAGAGGACUGAAAAUCCUCUAAACU